UCUCGGUUAGUAUAGUGGUUAGUAUCCCCACCUGUUAUGCGGGAGACCGGGGUUCAAUUUCCCGACCGAGAG
This 72-nucleotide transfer RNA is filed under the name Gigaspora rosea. It matches the Rfam family "tRNA". From Rfam's summary of the family: Transfer RNA (tRNA) molecules are approximately 80 nucleotides in length. Their secondary structure includes four short double-helical elements and three loops (D, anti-codon, and T loops). The record is from Rfam by way of RNAcentral. Lineage: Eukaryota; Fungi; Glomeromycota; Glomeromycetes; Diversisporales; Gigasporaceae.